RNAcentral lists this ribosomal RNA (253 nucleotides) under uncultured bacterium. RNAcentral describes it as "partial 16S ribosomal RNA". It matches the Rfam family "Bacterial small subunit ribosomal RNA", at positions 524 to 776 of the family's 1533-position model. The record is from RNAcentral.
UACGAAGGGUGCUAGCGUUGUUCGGAAUUACUGGGCGUAAAGCGCGCGUAGGCGGCUUUGCAAGUCAGAGGUGAAAUCCCCAGGCUCAACCUGGGAAUUGCCUUUGAAACUGCAAAGCUGGAGUGUCGGAGGGGAUAGCGGAAUUCCUAAUGUAGAGGUGAAAUUCGUAGAUAUUAGGAGGAACACCGGUGGCGAAGGCAGCUUACUAGGCUGUAACUGACGCUGAGGCACGAAAGUGUGGGGAUCAAACAGG